This 253-nucleotide ribosomal RNA is filed under the name uncultured bacterium. RNAcentral describes it as "partial 16S ribosomal RNA". It matches the Rfam family "Bacterial small subunit ribosomal RNA", at positions 524 to 776 of the family's 1533-position model. The record is from RNAcentral.
UACGUAGGGGGCAAGCGUUGUCCGGAAUCAUUGGGCGUAAAGAGCGUGUAGGCGGCCAGAAAAGUCCGCUGUGAAAACUCGAGGCUCAACUUCGAGCUGUCGGUGGAAACUUUCUGGCUAGAGUCCGGAAGAGGAGAAUGGAAUUCCUGGUGUAGCGGUGAAAUGCGCAGAUAUCAGGAAGAACACCCGUGGCGAAGGCGGCACUCUGGGCCGGAACUGACGCUGAGGAGCGAAAGCGUGGGGAGCGAACAGG